Molecule: ribosomal RNA, 467 nt
Filed under: uncultured bacterium
Lineage: Bacteria
Description: partial 16S ribosomal RNA
Rfam family: Bacterial small subunit ribosomal RNA
Source: RNAcentral
GAUGAACGCUGACAGAAUGCUUAACACAUGCAAGUCAACUUGAAUUUGGGUUUUUAACUUAGGUUUGGGUGGCGGACGGGUGAGUAACGCGUAAAGAACUUGCCUCACAGCUAGGGACAACAUUUGGAAACGAAUGCUAAUACCUAAUAUUAUGAUAAUAGGGCAUCCUAUAAUUAUGAAAGCUAUAAGCGCUGUGAGAGAGCUUUGCGUCCCAUUAGCUAGUUGGAGAGGUAACGGCUCACCAAGGCGAUGAUGGGUAGCCGGCCUGAGAGGGUGAUCGGCCACAAGGGGACUGAGACACGGCCCUUACUCCUACGGGAGGCAGCAGUGGGGAGUAUUGGACAAUGGACCGAGAGUCUGAUCCAGCAAUUCUGUGUGCACGAUGAAGUUUUUCGGAAUGUAAAGUGCUUUCAGUUGGGAAGAAACAAAUGACGGUACCAACAGAAGAAGUGACGGCUAAAUACGUG